This 750-nucleotide ribosomal RNA is filed under the name Nesterenkonia sp. swa-s1. RNAcentral's name for it is "bacterial SSU rRNA". It matches the Rfam family "Bacterial small subunit ribosomal RNA", at positions 60 to 820 of the family's 1533-position model. The record is from RNAcentral. Lineage: Bacteria; Bacillati; Actinomycetota; Actinomycetes; Micrococcales; Micrococcaceae.
AGUCGAACGAUGAAGACCGUGCUUGCACGGUCGGAUUAGUGGCGAACGGGUGAGUAUCACGUGAGUAACCUUCCCUUAACUCUGGGAUAAGCCCGGGAAACUGGGUCUAAUACCGGAUACGACCAGUCCUCGCAUGGGGUGCUGGUGGAAAGAUUUAUCGGUUUUGGAUGGACUCGCGGCCUAUCAGCUUGUUGGUGAGGUAAUGGCUCACCAAGGCGAUGACGGGUAGCCGGCCUGAGAGGGUGACCGGCCACACUGGGACUGAGACACGGCCCAGACUCCUACGGGAGGCAGCAGUGGGGAAUAUUGCACAAUGGGCGAAAGCCUGAUGCAGCGACGCCGCGUGCGGGAUGACGGCCUUCGGGUUGUAAACCGCUUUCAGCAGGGAAGAAGCGAAAGUGACGGUACCUGCAGAAGAAGCGCCGGCUAACUACGUGCCAGCAGCCGCGGUAAUACGUAGGGCGCGAGCGUUAUCCGGAAUUAUUGGGCGUAAAGAGCUCGUAGGCGGUUUGUCACGUCUGCUGUGAAAGCCCGGGGCUCAACUCCGGGUGUGCAGUGGGUACGGGCAGACUAGAGUGCAGUAGGGGAGACUGGAAUUCCUGGUGUAGCGGUGAAAUGCGCAGAUAUCAUGAGGAACACCGAUGGCGAAAGCAGGUCUCUGGGCUGUUACUGACGCUGAGGAGCGAAAGCAUGGGGAGCGAACAGGAUUAGAUACCCUGGUAGUCCAUGCCGUAAACGUUGGGCACUAGG